This 506-nucleotide ribosomal RNA is filed under the name uncultured bacterium. RNAcentral describes it as "partial 16S ribosomal RNA". It matches the Rfam family "Bacterial small subunit ribosomal RNA", at positions 30 to 523 of the family's 1533-position model. The record is from RNAcentral.
AUUGAACGCUGGCGGCAGGCCUAACACAUGCAAGUCGAACGGUAACAGGAAGCAGCUUGCUGCUUCGCUGACGAGUGGCGGACGGGUGAGUAAUGUCUGGGAAACUGCCUGAUGGAGGGGGAUAACUACUGGAAACGGCAGCUAAUACCGCAUAACGUCGCUAGACCAAAGAGGGGGACCUUCGGGCCUCUUGCCAUCGGAUGUGCCCAGAUGGGAUUAGCUAGUAGGUGGGGUAACGGCUCACCUAGGCGACGAUCCCUAGCUGGUCCGAGAGGAUGACCAGCCACACUGGAACUGAGACACGGUCCAGACUCCUACGGGAGGCAGCAGUGGGGAAUAUUGCACAAUGGGCGCAAGCCUGAUGCAGCCAUGCCGCGUGUAUGAAGAAGGCCUUCGGGUUGUAAAGUACUUUCAGCGGGGAGGAAGGCGAUAAGGUUAAUAACCUUGUCGAUUGACGUUACCCGCAGAAGAAGCACCGGCUAACUCCGUGCCAGCCGCCGCGGUAA